Molecule: ribosomal RNA, 253 nt
Filed under: uncultured bacterium
Lineage: Bacteria
Description: partial 16S ribosomal RNA
Rfam family: Bacterial small subunit ribosomal RNA
Source: RNAcentral
UACGAAGGGGGCUAGCGUUGCUCGGAAUCACUGGGCGUAAAGGGUGCGUAGGCGGGUUUUUAAGUCAGGGGUGAAAUCCUGGAGCUCAACUCCAGAACUGCCUUCGAUACUGGAGAGCUCGAGUCCGGGAGAGGUGAGUGGAACUGCGAGUGUAGAGGUGAAAUUCGUAGAUAUUCGCAAGAACACCAGUGGCGAAGGCGGCUCACUGGCCCGGUACUGACGCUGAGGUGCGAAAGCGUGGGGAGCAAACAGG